CUCCAGACUCCUACGGGAGGCAGCAGUGGGGAAUAUUGCACAAUGGGGGGAACCCUGAUGCAGCGACGCCGCGUGGGUGAAGGAGUAUUUCGGUAUGUAAAGCCCUAUCAGCAGGGAAGAACAAUGACGGUACCUGACUAAGAAGCACCGGCUAAAUACGUGCCAGCAGCCGCGGUAAUACGUAUGGUGCAAGCGUUAUCCGGAUUUACUGGGUGUAAAGGGAGCGUAGACGGCGAUGCAAGUCUGAAGUGAAAGGCGGGGGCCCAACCCCCGGACUGCUUUGGAAACUGUAUGGCUGGAGUGCAGGAGAGGUAAGUGGAAUUCCUAGUGUAGCGGUGAAAUGCGUAGAUAUUAGGAGGAACACCAGUGGCGAAGGCGGCUUACUGGACUGUAACUGACGUUGAGGCUCGAAAGCGUGGGGAGCAAACAGGAUUAGAUACCCCAGUA
Molecule: ribosomal RNA, 447 nt
Filed under: uncultured bacterium
Lineage: Bacteria
Description: bacterial SSU rRNA
Rfam family: Bacterial small subunit ribosomal RNA
Source: RNAcentral